Molecule: long non-coding RNA, 223 nt
Filed under: Prunus persica (peach)
Lineage: Eukaryota; Viridiplantae; Streptophyta; Magnoliopsida; Rosales; Rosaceae
Description: long non-coding RNA (PPER_LNC007758)
Source: RNAcentral
UUAAUCUCCUCUUCCAAACUUGUAAUUCUUCAAAUGCCUAACAGAUUAUCUUUUAUCUCUAAAAAGAAAGUCUAGCACCAAACAUGAUCUAAGAUGUACAUCAUACGUGUUAUUCUAGUUAAAGUCUUUGAUUUAAUAAAAAACAUCUUGCAAUAUAAAAAAUUAUUAUCGAAAGAUAAAGCACAUGAUGUCGAUGCGCCAAAUUAUUAAAAGUUAAAAGUUG